GCCCAAUAGCUAGCUCAACCCAUCAAACACAACAACUAACUAUUUCUACCCCCUAAUAAACUAAAGACUUAUAAACAAAUCAUUUUACCACCUAAGUAUGGGCGACAGAAAAGGACCACUCGGAGCAAUAGCAACAGUACCGCAAGGGAACGCUGAAAGAGAGAUGAAAUAGAUCAGUAAAGCAUUGAAAAGCAGAGUUUAACCCUCGUACCUUUUGCAUCAUGAUUUAGCAAGAAGACAUCAAGCAAAGAGAACUUUAGUUUGAUACCCCGAAACCAAGUGAGCUACUCCAAGACAGCCUUAUAGGGCGAACCCGUCUCUGUGGCAAAAGAGUGGGGAGAGCUUUGAGUAGAGGUGACAGACCUACCGAACUUGGUUAUAGCUGGUUGUCCAGGAAUUGAACAGGAGUUCAGCCUUUUGCCCUCUUUCCUCACUGCUGGUUACACUUUUAAGCCCCCAAGAGGACAAAAGAGUUAGUCAAAGGGGGUACAGCCCCUUUGAAAAAGAUACAACUUUCCCAGAAGGGUUAAGAUCAUAACAUUAAUUAAGGGGUAGUGUUGUAGUUGGCCUAAAGGCAGCCACCCACACAGAAAGCGUUAAAGCUCAUACACCUCCCUUCCCCAAUUAUCCGGACCACUACAUCUUACCCCCCUACAUAUACUGGACCUAUUCCAUACACAUAUGGAAGAGAUUAUGCUAAUAUGAGUAAUAAGAGACCAAGACUCUCUCCUCGCACAAGUGUACAUCGGAACGAACCCACACCGAAAAUUAACGUCCCCAAAGAAGAGGGAAUUGGAACAUAAUGGCCCGGCCACAAGAAAAACAUCCACCCCAAACCGUUAACCUCACACCAGAGUGCAUACAAGGAAAGACUAAAAGAAAAAGAAGGAACUCGGCAAACACCUCUAGCCUCGCCUGUUUACCAAAAACAUCGCCUCUUGCAAUCCAAGAAUAAGAGGUCCCGCCUGCCCUGUGACUAUUGUUUAACGGCCGCGGUACUCUGACCGUGCGAAGGUAGCGCAAUCACUUGUCUUUUAAAUGGAGACCUGUAUGAAUGGCAUAACGAGGGCUAAACUGUCUCCUUUUUUAAGUCAAUGAAAUUGAUCUCCCCGUGCAGAAGCGGGGAUAUUUACAUAAGACGAGAAGACCCUAUGGAGCUUUAGACAAAAAGCAGACCAUGUUAAACAACCCGGACAAGGGCCUAAACUUAGUGGCAACUGCCCGACUGUCUUUGGUUGGGGCGACCACGGAGUAAAACAAAACCCCCGUGUGGAAUGAGGGUAACCCCUUUAAAACCAGAGUAGCACCUCUAAUGAGCAGAAAUUCUGACCAAACAUGAUCCGGCAAGGCCGAUCAACGGACCGAGUUACCCUAGGGAUAACAGCGCAAUCCCCUUCUAGAGCCCAUAUCGACAAGGGGGUUUACGACCUCGAUGUUGGAUCAGGACAUCCUAAUGGCGCAGCCGCUAUUAAGGGUUCGUUUGUUCAACGAUUAAAGUCCUACGUGAUCUGAGUUCAGACCGGAGUAAUCCAGGUCAGUUUCUAUCUAUGAAAUGAUUUUUUCUAGUACGAAAGGACCGAAAAGAAGAGGCCCAUGCUGAAGGCACGCCUCCCUUUCACCUAGUGACAACAACUAAAAUAGGCAAGAAAGCAUACGCCUUUGUCUAAGAGAAAGACUG
RNAcentral lists this ribosomal RNA (1678 nucleotides) under Jaydia lineata (Indian perch). Its description in RNAcentral is "16S ribosomal RNA". The stretch from base 96 to 1599 matches the Rfam family "Bacterial large subunit ribosomal RNA". Lineage: Eukaryota; Metazoa; Chordata; Actinopteri; Kurtiformes; Apogonidae. The record is from RNAcentral.